Molecule: ribosomal RNA, 510 nt
Filed under: uncultured bacterium
Lineage: Bacteria
Description: partial 16S ribosomal RNA
Rfam family: Bacterial small subunit ribosomal RNA
Source: RNAcentral
GACGAACGCUGGCGGCGUGCUUAACACAUGCAAGUCGAACGAAGAGCGAUGGACGCUUGCUUCUAUCACUCUUAGUGGCGAACGGGUGAGUAACGCGUAAUCAACCUGCCCUUCAGAGGGGGACAACAGUUGGAAACGACUGCUAAUACCGCAUACGAUCUAAUCUCGGCAUCGAGGAUAGAUGAAAGGUGGCCUCUACAUGUAAGCUAUCACUGAAGGAGGGGAUUGCGUCUGAUUAGCUAGUUGGAGGGGUAACGGCCCACCAAGGCGAUGAUCAGUAGCCGGUCUGAGAGGAUGAACGGCCACAUUGGGACUGAGACACGGCCCAGACUCCUACGGGAGGCAGCAGUGGGGAAUCUUCCGCAAUGGACGAAAGUCUGACGGAGCAACGCCGCGUGAGCGAUGACGGCCUUCGGGUUGUAAAGCUCUGUUAAUCGGGACGAAAGGCCUUCUUGCGAAUAGUGAGAAGGAUUGACGGUACCGGAAUAGAAAGCCACGGCUAACUACGUG